RNAcentral lists this ribosomal RNA (402 nucleotides) under uncultured bacterium. RNAcentral's name for it is "bacterial SSU rRNA". It matches the Rfam family "Bacterial small subunit ribosomal RNA", at positions 355 to 774 of the family's 1533-position model. The record is from RNAcentral.
UAACGAAUCUUCCGCAAUGCACGAAAGUGUGACGGAGCGACGCCGCGUGUAGGACGAAGCCCUUCGGGGUGUAAACUACUGUCAGGGGAAAGAAAGUUCUGAUCUACCCCAGAGGAAGGGACGGCUAACUCUGUGCCAGCAGCCGCGGUAAGACAGAGGUCCCGAGCGUUAGGCGGAAUCACUGGGCUUAAAGCGUGUGUAGGCGGAUGCCUAAGUACCUUGUGAAAUCCCACGGCUCACCCGUGGAACUGCUUGGUAUACUGGGUGUCUUGAGCCACUUAGGGGCUACCGGAACAAAUGGUGGAGCGGUGAAAUGCGUAGAUAUCAUUUGGAACGCCAAUGGUGAAAACAGGUAGCUGGGAGUGUGCUGACGCUGAGACACGAAAGCCAGGGGAGCAAACG